AAUAGCACGGAGUACCCCAAAGACUGAUGGUAUAAUCUUCUGACUUUGCCCCUCCAGCAGGGUUCUCAACCACUGAAAAAACAGUGUCCCUUUGUACCACUUCAGAGAAGUGAGUCAUAAAGAAAAGGAAAGCCACUAGGAUGUCCAACAGAGCCAAAUACCCCCUUUCACCAACAUGGAUAGAUUACUUACCAGUGCAAAGUUUUAUUUGUCCCAUAACCAGGCCUGAAGCCAGAUAGAGAUGAAUCUGGGAGGAACUGGUGGACCUGAGGGAAGACUGCAAGCCUUCCAUCUGGUCAGCCCACCCUCCCCAGGAGUUCCUGGGAAGAAGACACCAAGCUGGUGACCAUGUGAGGCCACCUUUCUCUGGCUCCCUGACCUGACAGCAACUUCGAACGUGGGUUUAUAGAAUACCUGACAGACAUCUAACAGAUCUGCAACUGAGCUGGCCAAGAUAUUUUGUGUGCCUGACACAACCGUACCACUUGGCCAAGAGAAGGAGUGACCUUCCUGCAUAGCUAUCCCUCCACAUCAUCCUGAGAACAACAGCAUCUUCACCAUGUUGGGGUGGAACAGACAGGCAUGAAAGAGCAACCCGAGCCAGAAGUAGGUUCCAAGCUCACUGUCCACAUGGUCUGCUCGCAAGGUGGGCUGUGGA
Long non-coding RNA from Sceloporus undulatus (fence lizard), 658 nucleotides. RefSeq lists it as uncharacterized. Lineage: Eukaryota; Metazoa; Chordata; Lepidosauria; Squamata; Phrynosomatidae. The record is from RefSeq and is a predicted model, not a curated record. The transcript is spliced from 3 exons.